GUACCUACAAGAAUCAAGAGUGCCGUUUGUUGCCAUCAAAUUUACUUGACCCGCGGAUUCUCUCUGCAUAAUGGAACUGCCGAAAGAUGGUGCCCUUUUAAAACCGUUGUACGGUUUCAUAUACGAAGCUAAAAUGUCCUGGGAUAUUGAGGAUUACGGAUGCUUUAUCUAGACUUUGGAGGAAAGGAAGGCGAAGUUCAACUGGAUCUUCACUCUUGUCCAAAGCCAAUUGUGUUCAUCAUCCAUUCAUUCCUUUCAGCCAAGAUUACGAGACUUGGUCUGGUAGCAUAAACUCUGUCCAUCGAUUUUUGUUUGCACAAAAGAAAACAGGAACAAAAGGCUAAUCAGAAUGGCAACAGGCAGUCUGGCCACAAGCGUGGCUGCACCCAACAUAUGUAACCGCUGCGUGCAGGAACUUUGCUUGUGUUGGGACAGUUACGAGAACAAAGUGCAGAAGAAAUAAGAAUAAUCAAGGGAAACCCGAGAGCGCAAGAACAUUCACUUCAACUAAUUUUGAUUUGCAGUGGGGACGUGAAUGGGGGAGACACAACAUAGAUCACUAUGAAUAAUGGCAAACUGCUGAAGGAAUCAUUGCAUCGGUGUUUCAGAUUCAUUAUUGUGCCUGUCAGUGAUACAGAAUAGUAGAUUUUCAACUGGGUUUGAAAGGAUUUGGGGAUUCCUUGGGAUAAUCAGGAGCUUCGAGAAGAUCAAUAUUAGAAGUCAUGCUUCCUUGAAAGAUAGCUUGUCCUCACUUAUCUUCCAGUGCAACAGCUAUCGCGGCUGCAAAGUAAAAGUAUUGGAGUGCUUUCUAGGAUACAGAUCUUUACAAAAAGAACAGAAACAAGUAGCUACUGCUGGCAGCCUGGUACAAAACAAAUGAAGCGUGCCUUAAAAACACCACCCGUGCUCUUCUGCAACAUUUAGAGGGUUUUGGCACAUAAAGGGAUGUAGCUAGGGUCCCUUGAUUAGGAAGUUUUGAAAACUACUACAGUGAUCAAGGGCUAAGUAAAUAGGCUAUAAUACACUAGGUACUCACCUGUAUUGGAUUUGAUCAAUGAAAUUGUCAGACGCUAUGUAUAACGGAAUCUUUUCUCUGAGCAAUCUUCCAGUUUUGAUAAAGUGCCAGAAGAGAACACCUUUCUGCAACCUGUACACCAGCUAAAUCAUUAGCUGCCUAGAUGCUAGAGCCACACAGGAUGAGAAUGGCUUGAAAGCUCACAGUAUUCGUGCUGUUUUUCUCCAAAAGAUCUGUAAAUGCCACAGUAUCACUGCAUAAUUUGGGGUUGGGAGGGGAAGGCCAGAGCCGGCUGCAGCAACAAGAUAGUAUUCCUAAGCCACGCAACCACCAACGGAAUACCCAAGGUGUGUCUUAAGUGCCUUUAUUUAGGAUAGACAGAAGGUUAGCCACUCCUAACAUGUAGCUUCAUAAGCUGCUGUGUUCAUCCCGCUGGUAGAAUGAAAUAAGCUGACUUUUUAAAAAAAGGCUUUAUUCAGUAGAUAACUUUUGUAAUAAAUUCUGAGAUGCACGAUGCAGCGCUAACCACUUUGGUGGAACUACAGUGAAGGCAGCAAUUGAUUUUUAUUUGCAGGCCGCAUGCUUAAGCAAGCAUGAGCUGAUAGGCAGGCCCACUAGGUGCCCCUGUUGGGUUAUCUCCACACCAGAUACCAUCCUCCCCAGCACGGACAGCCACAGAGACAAAGGCAAAGCUUGGCCUUACUGUGUGUCCUGAUUCACAGGGCUGCAUAACUGAGAGGCCCUCUGCUCCAAUUUACAAAGUUGUGGGGUGGUAUCUCAAGGGUUAAGGUUCAUGGGGCAGGUGGAAAGGCUUACAGACAGAGGUUAGAUGUAGUCCUUCUCUUUCCCUAUCAUGAAAUGUCAUUUUAUGCACAAUAUGAAAGCAAUAUUGCGUGCACCAACACUGUCCUGUAUAUUUUUAAAAAGGCAAUUGGGUAGACUAGCAGCAGCUGGAGCUAGUGGCUCAUGGUAAUAUAAAUAUCCACUUGUAGAUAUUUUGGAACACAACUACCUUUGAUAUCUGCAGGCAGGCAGGCAAAGGGAACUCUCUGGUUUCAUUUUAAUUGUGCUCCUUGGAAAUUAGAUGGGUUAAAUGAAUGUUCACUUCAUCAAACAGAGAGUUGUGAUUUUUGUGCGCAUGCCAAGCCUUAAAAGAUCUUGCUUCUCUUACCGAAGACACACCUCACGUUCUGUAAGCAUGUUAGUGUUAGCUGCUAUUGAUGGGCAAAAUCCUUUGUGGAUAGAGGAGCUGAUAUAGAUGCAGCAUUUCUGAACGCUAAACCAUAGUCCAAAGGGUCUGCAGAAUUGCACGCACUGUUGCCUGAGAAAUAUCACAAGCCGGGGGCAUCUCGAUUAAAAUUUAAAGCUGAUUAAGCAACCCCAUGUUAAGAACAAACUUGGUUAGCCUCCAUCAUGGUUAGCAGUACUGAAGAUGGGCAGGAGAAUUUAGUGUCAUACGAGGGAGCACACAGACUCCCCCACGUCUUAGCCCUCCACAGUUAAAAUACAAGCAGCAUUACAUAUACCCUAGUUCUGAACUGGGUUGGUAUAUAAAAUAGCACGGUUCCACAGAGGGUUUCAAGCAUGUGCCCUUAUAGCAAUUUUUAGUAAUCCUGAGGUAUUUUAAGAAACCUACUAUCCUUAUAGAGACCUCUAAAACAGUUUGAAGUGCACAAAACUUUUGUGUGCACACAGGCCUCCUCUUUCACUUCAACCGAGAGAAGAAGUACGUUCUUAGCAGAUCUCCUUUCUCCGUUUACUUAGGACAGCUUUGAAAAAAGGGAGCCACCCCAUGAAUUCAUUAGAGCCUCUGUGUCUGUCAGCUAAAGAAUUGCAGGUAUUUUAGAUUAAACUGCCUUUUGUAAAAAGUUAAAGAACACACAGAAUUACCAACCUAAGCGAUCACAGCCUUGCCUGAAUUAAGAAUUUUCCCUUAAAUCUUCAAUUAACCACAAAUGGAACGUUUUUCAUUUGAAUGACAGAAAUUAAAAAUAAUCUAGAAUAUUGUGUAUGGUAAGGAAAGUGGAUGCAUAUGUAAAUUGUACUGCUUCUUUAAAUACUUCUUUUAAAAUCACUGGAAUGUUAUAGAUAAGAUGAUCUUCCUUGUAAAUAAUCAGCAUUCAUCUAUUAGUUAUCAACAAAUUACACAGUAUGUCAUGUAAUUUAUGGUGCUCAGAUUAUAAUAUGAAGAAUAAGUGAAUAACUAGUUUGUAAAAAGAAAUUAUUAUAUAUUUAUAGACAAAUUAAAUACAGAUUUUGAACUGACUGUUAUUUGGUUGGGGAUGAUAGAAUGGAAUAUAUGGAGCUACUCCAAAUUUAUAAGAAUUUAGUUUAAAAUAUUUAUAUUUUAGAGGAAAAGACUAUAUUUAAUAAAAAAUAUCAUUUACUGGAA
Sphaerodactylus townsendi is the source of this 3407-nucleotide long non-coding RNA. RefSeq lists it as uncharacterized. Lineage: Eukaryota; Metazoa; Chordata; Lepidosauria; Squamata; Sphaerodactylidae. The record is from RefSeq and is a predicted model, not a curated record. The transcript has 3 exons.